CCCGUGCUACAACCGCUCUGAAAAGGUACAAGCAUCCGUUGCGGAUCACCUCGGAAGGCGAGUCUGAGUAUAAAG
Molecule: regulatory RNA element, 75 nt
Organism: Bacillus sp. OxB-1
Lineage: Bacteria; Bacillati; Bacillota; Bacilli; Caryophanales; Bacillaceae
Source: Rfam